Molecule: ribosomal RNA, 468 nt
Filed under: uncultured bacterium
Lineage: Bacteria
Description: partial 16S ribosomal RNA
Rfam family: Bacterial small subunit ribosomal RNA
Source: RNAcentral
GAUGAACGCUGGCGGCGUGCUUAACACAUGCAAGUCGAACGGAAAGGCCGAAGCUUGCUUCGGUACUCGAGUGGCGAACGGGUGAGUAACACGUGGGUGAUCUGCCCUGUACUUCGGGAUAAGCUUGGGAAACUGGGUCUAAUGCCGGAUAUGACGAUCUCUUGGAUGGGGUUGUGGAAAGCUUUUGCGGUAUGGGAUGAGCUCGCGGCCUAUCAGCUUGUUGGUGGGGUAAUGGCCUACCAAGGCGUCGACGGGUAGCCGGCCUGAGAGGGUGUACGGCCACAUUGGGACUGAGAUACGGCCCAGACUCCUACGGGAGGCAGUAGUGGGGAAUAUUGCACAAUGGGCGCAAGCCUGAUGCAGCGACGCCGCGUGGGGGAUGACGGCCUUCGGGUUGUAAACUCCUUUCGCAAUCGACGAAGCCUUUUGGUGACGGUAGGUUGAGAAGAAGCACCGGCUAACUACGUG